CCUACGGGAGGCAGCAGUAGGGAAUCUUCCACAAUGGGCGAAAGCCUGAUGGAGCAACGCCGCGUGGGUGAAGAAGGUCUUCGGAUCGUAAAACCCUGUUGUUAGAGAAGAAAGUGCGUGAGAGUAACUGUUCACGUUUCGACGGUAUCUAACCAGAAAGCCACGGCUAACUACGUGCCAGCAGCCGCGGUAAUACGUAGGUGGCAAGCGUUAUCCGGAUUUGUUGGGCGUAAAGGGAACGCAGGCGGUCUUUUAAGUCUGAUGUGAAAGCCUUCGGCUUAACCGGAGUAGUGCAUUGGAAACUGGGAGACUUGAGUGCAGAAGAGGAGAGUGGAACGCCAUGUGUAGCGGUGAAAUGCGUAGAUAUAUGGAAGAACACCAGUGGCGAAAGCGGCUCUCUGGUCUGUAACUGACGCUGAGGUUCGAAAGCGUGGGUAGCAAACAGGAUUAGAUACCCUUGUAGUC
This 465-nucleotide ribosomal RNA is filed under the name uncultured bacterium. RNAcentral describes it as "partial 16S ribosomal RNA". It matches the Rfam family "Bacterial small subunit ribosomal RNA", at positions 338 to 795 of the family's 1533-position model. The record is from RNAcentral.